GAUGAAGAACGUAGCGAAAUGCGAUAAGUAAUGUGAAUUGCAGAAUUCAGUGAAUCAUCGAAUCUUUGAACGCACAUUGCGCCCGCCAGUAUUCUGGCGGGCAUGCCUGUCCGAGCGUCAUUUCAACCCUCGAACCCCUCCGGGGGGUCGGCGUUGGGGAUCGGCCCCUCACCGGGCCGCCCCCGAAAUCCAGUGGCGGUCUCGCCGCAGCCUCUCCUGCGCAGUAGUUUGCACACUCGCACCGGGAGCGCGGCGCGGCCACAGCCGUAAAACACCCCAAACUCUGAAAUGUUGACCUCGGAUAAGGUAGGAAUACCCGCUGAACUUAAGCAUAUCAAUAAGCGGAGGA
Molecule: unclassified non-coding RNA, 349 nt
Filed under: soil metagenome
Description: partial contains 5.8S ribosomal RNA, internal transcribed spacer 2, and large subunit ribosomal RNA
Rfam family: 5.8S ribosomal RNA (bases 1-120)
Source: RNAcentral